RNAcentral lists this small RNA (23 nucleotides) under Arabidopsis thaliana (thale cress). RNAcentral describes it as "ATSL234250". The record is from RNAcentral. Lineage: Eukaryota; Viridiplantae; Streptophyta; Magnoliopsida; Brassicales; Brassicaceae.
UUGUCUUCUUCUUCUUCUUCUGC